Long non-coding RNA from Caretta caretta (loggerhead turtle), 2108 nucleotides. RefSeq lists it as uncharacterized. The record is from RefSeq and is a predicted model, not a curated record. NCBI's taxonomy places the organism in Eukaryota, Metazoa, Chordata, Testudines, Cheloniidae.
UUUAAAACAGUAAUUCAUAGUGGGAUGAUCUGUGUGUCAUAAGGUACAUUUGGCAGAUGUUGAGGGUAACUUUUGUGAUCCUGUUUUCAGCUUACUUGGAGUAAAAUUUUCAAAGGUGCCUAAGUGGUUUAGGAGCCGCAGUUGACUUUCCAUAAAACUUAGGCAGCUACAGGCUAGAUCCACAAAGAGACUUAGGCACCUUGUUACCCAGUGCAAUCCACAGCCCUGAGUUAGGCACCCAACUCUGUAUGCACUGCUUGAGGAGAUUUAGGAGCCUAAGAAAGGGAUCUGCAAAAGCCAGCACACAGAGCAAGGAGCUGCCUAAACUAGCCAGUGGGAAAUACUUUGGCACCAAUCUCCAUGUGCGAUUCACAGCCAUGAACCCUCUCCUGGUGUCAGGUGCCUAAGCCCUUUCUUGUACAAAAUGCACUGCCCACACUGCUUUGUAUUGUAAAAAAAUCUAGACUAAUCUAGCAUGUGAAGCAGAUGCAUGUGACAUAUUAUUCAAAAAUCUCUGCUUUACCUGCAGACAGCUAUUCCUGGAACAGUAUGUUGGUGGUGCUCAAUAAUAAUGGCAUUAGAACUAAUACUCUGAGAACUUCCAGUCACCCCUUUCCAGCUGGGGAGCAAGAAUUCUGCACAAGACAACUGCUAACGUUUCAUCAUCAGGGGAUGAUUGAUUUGUGGCUGAAACUCAAAGUAUUUCUGCUAUAUCUUAUACCUGCGGGUUGAAGUAAAAUGAAGGUGAACCUCUAAUGCGGAGGGCUUGACAGCCGUGACUUCAGUCACACACAGUGCAGCCAUGUGCUCUACAGGCUUCCCUCACCCAGCAAUUCAACUGCCCUCAGUUCUUUUCUCAGCCCCCUGUGUCUGGUCCAGUGCUGACCUGUGUGACUCCUGCUAUUCUAGCCAUGGCUGUCGCAACCCCAGCUUUCCUACAGCACAGACAAUUGCUGCCACUUGGGAAAUUUUAGAUCCUGGCCCACCUCAUUCUGCUCCCUUAUUCCAUGGGCCCCAUCCUCAGGAGCGAGGGGCUUGCUGAUCAAUACGGUAGGUGCCCUUUGAAGGCAAUUGCAGGAAACCUCAGUCAACCCUAGCUCCAUGCUAGUCUUGGUUAACAAACUCUUACUUUAUUGACUGCAGGUAAACCCAGGAAUUAACUCAUUUAGUGUGGAUCUAAAGGUGCCCUCUUUCCCCUCUCGCUUAUCAGAAAGUCUCAUAACAGAUCCCAGGUCAGACUUCCUCCACAGCUCUACCAAUGCAUCACAACCCUCUCUGGCAGCAUAUAUCUAUUCCUGAUGGCCACGGGACUAACCUGACUGGCAGUGCAAGCCUGGUAUCUGAGGAAGCAGAAGGUGUCUUAACCAGCCUUACCAGCACUUUCCAUGAGAAACCCAACUUAGCUGCCUCAGAGUAUUGCUGUACUUUGCUGUAUGAUGUGCAUACCAAGAGAAACAAAACCAGACUCACAAUCUGGUCCCCAGUUUCCUAAGGGCUCAAGGGAGAGGGAAGAGAGGGUGGAUAAUCUAUGCCAGGCCUCUACCUGGCAAAGGAUACUUCUGCUUGCACACAGGAGGCAGCUGCAUUGGGUGAUAUGUUUGGGGGAAGGGCAGAACCAAGCUUCCCUGCAACUGUUGUGGCUGCUCUCCCACCCUGCACUGGUACCCAUGACAUGGGCAACAGGCACAAGGGAACGGUGUCCCUUAACCCUGGGUGGCUAUACAGUAAAGGCCACAAUCUGGCCCUAAACAAGCUAAUAUAAUACAAAUGACUGGAACAGGGAGAAGAACACAGUCCAAUUCCGUGUCUCUACUGAGCUAGAACCUUGACACUCAGUGAGCUCACUCAUGGAUUGCUGAGUACAAGAACAAUAAACGCUGAGCUUUCACCUGUCCAUCACAGGUCACCAAACAGUCUCUAUUCUUUUAUGGUAUUUCAACCAUUUAAGACAAUGGGGCUGUGCAGGGCCUAACUCAGUGUUUGAAAUGUUUUAUUUAUUCUGAAAACCUCUUUAUUUUAUCUCCAAAACCUCUAGUGCUGGUAAUUGUCCUCUGAAAACUAAUCCAUGGUGGAACUGAAUUUAUUUAUUAAAAUGCUCAAAAAAGUAA